RNA transcript from Stomoxys calcitrans (stable fly), 2542 nucleotides. RefSeq lists it as uncharacterized. Lineage: Eukaryota; Metazoa; Arthropoda; Insecta; Diptera; Muscidae. The record is from RefSeq and is a predicted model, not a curated record. The transcript has 6 exons.
CAAUGGUUUGGGAUAGCCCAUCCGUAGAAUUGCUGGUUUCAUGAAUAUUUAGCCCUUCUGUAGGUUGUAGCCAAUGUGUAGAGUCUAUAUGAACAUUUCCCGUUUCGUUAAGCAGUUCCGUAUGUAUUUUUGCUGAAACGGUAUCGUUGGCUUCGAUACGCAGUGGCAUAAUAUUCAGAUGUGCAGGAUGCCGCUCAUCGAACUGCGACGGCCUGUCUAUUCAGUUCUCACGUGGACCACCUUCAUCAGGAGAAAAAGUUCCUACCCAUGCGAAGACAUAACUAUUGGCUUACCCAAAAAGUAAUUGCGGAUUUUAUAAAAGAAACAAGCUAAAAGUCACAGCUGAUAACUGACAGAAGAAAGAAUGCAAUUACAGAGUCACAAGCUAUGAAAAAAGACAACAUUUAUGCAAAAACGGUAGUAGAUGAAGUAAAUAGCUACCGGGCGAAUGUAGUCCUUGGAGAACGUACGCCUCCCAUUGCACCUGAAGAAAUUGGCAGACCAGAGCAGUUCUGGCUCAAUAACGAUCCGGCAGAUGUAGACGCAUCAACUCCUACAGAGCACCGAUUGAUACCGACGUGUGUCCGCAUAGUGACCUGGGACCACACGACACACGUCAUCUGUUUAACAACCCAGCCAAACAACUCGACUCGACGCAGUUUCUGGAUCUGGAUAUUCAUCGGAAAUAAGCAUACAAAAUGCGGUAAUAACGGUGGCGGUUCAAACAGUGGUUCACCAUCACAUUAUCUACCUCCCGGACAUAGUCCGACGCCUUCAAGUACGCCUGUGUCUGAAUUAUCACCCGAGCUCCUGCCGCCAAUACUGAAGUUUAGCCCCAAUUGGGCUCUUACUCUCCGUUCGUCCGCCUCUUUCCGUCCGUAGAUCGUAACGUUUAUUGCUAUUUCCAAUACCAAAAAGGAAUACACUCUCUACCUACUCGAUCGGAACAAAACCCCCCGUGGAAAAUUCCUACCUGCCUAGAGAGGGCAAGGAUCGUAAAUUAACGAGAAGGGUCUAAUAAAAGAUGAGCAUCGGGAGAAAACUCCCUGCCUUUUUCUUUAUAAACUAAUUUCUUUGUGCUUUUUCUUUUUAGUUAUGGGUUUCCUCUCAAAAGUUCGUGUGAUGUAUUGGGUAUGAGUCGCGAGCAAUCACCUGGGGCACUGCGGACUGCCAGUGCCUUUACUGAUGUCCCACGAUGGUACAGAGGAGUUCCGCAAUGUGGUUUAGCUUGUAAUUCAAUUUUGUAUUUGCUUGUUUAGCCUUAGGAUAAAGUUAGUGUGUAAUUCACUUUUGUAGUUCAGCUUUUAACUUUAGCGUGUAAUUCAGCCUUUAAACUUGGCAUGUAACUCCGAUGUUAAACAUUAAUUUGUAUUACAAUUUUCAGAUUAGCUCCUAAUUUAGUUUUAAAAUCAGCUGAGUACAAUUUUUCCUCGCAAAGUGCACUAUCUGUAAACGAGUUUUGGUUGUGUGUGUGAAUUAAAGUUAAGAACCACGCCACACACAAACAACGAAAAAUGGUGCAAACUAGUAGCAUGCACAAAAUUACAGUUGCACUAAUCACUGAUUUUGACAGAUAUUGUGGGCAACUGCAAACAAUAUCUUGUUGGGUCUAAUUCAAUUUGCGUGCGGCCAAGAUAUAUUCAUUAACAGGUAGCGGCAGUUGCCCAAAAAAAAUAAAAAUACUGAGUGCACUAUCUGUCGAAAUCAGUGAUUGGUGUAACUCUGAUUUUGAGUAUGCUACUAGGUCGCGCACAACUUUCAACUUUCACAACUUUAGCAAUUUGUAGCCAUAAAAAAUCAGCUUUUGAACACAUUUGUUGAUUAUGUCAUACAAAAAUAAGAUACCAGUGUGAUAGCAAAAACGAUGAAUCGUAUGUAAAUUGGCAAUUUUGACACAUAAAAUGAAAUACCAAUAAUACAUAAAAAGUGAUCUCUCAUAAUACAAGAACAUGUAGUGUAAUAGAGCCUUUAAGGUACCAUCACACUACAUGUUCUUGCUUUAUGAGAUGUCAAAUUUUGCUGCUGUUAAAGUUGCACGCAUAGUGUGAUACGAAUAAAAAUAACACAAGAAAAUCACUUUUCAAAACACCACUGUUAUUUUUUCGAUUAGAGCGGUGCUCUAUUCCUUCUGAAAAAAAAAACAUAAAGAAAUCUGCUGUUUUUGUUGUAAGUUGAAUGAAAGAAACCCCAAAUUAAAUUGUUUUCACAACUCAACAACUUGUAGCUAUAAAGAAUCAUCUUUUGCUCUAAUUUUUAGGUUAUGUCGUACAAAAAUAACAUGCAAGUGUAAUAUCAAAAAUGGUGAAUCGAAUGUAAAUUGACAAUUUUGACACACAUAAUGAAAUACCAAUGAUACAUAAAAAAUGGCAUGUCAUAAGAUAAUAACAUGUAGUGUGAUAGAGCCUUUACAGACACAUAUUUAUUUGUUUAUGGUUUAUAGAUGAUUUUGUUAAAUAUUGGGUUGCCCAAAAAGUAAUUGUCGGUAAUAUAGUAGUAAUAUAGUCGGCAUUGACAAAUUUUUUUCAACGGCUUGUGAUUCUGU